GACGAACGCUGGCGGCGUGCUUAACACAUGCAAGUCGAACGGUGAACUCCGCUUGCGGGGGGUUCAGUGGCGAACGGGUGCGUAACACGUGGGCAACCUGCCCUCAGCUCUGGGAUAACUCCAAGAAAUUGGGGCUAAUACCGGAUAUGACCGCUGACCGCAUGGUCUGGUGGUGGAAAGAUUUAUCGGCUGGGGAUGGGCCCGCGGCCUAUCAGCUUGUUGGUGGGGUAGUGGCCUACCAAGGCGACGACGGGUAGCCGGCCUGAGAGGGUGACCGGCCACACUGGGACUGAGACACGGCCCAGACUCCUACGGGAGGCAGCAGUGGGGAAUAUUGCGCAAUGGGCGAAAGCCUGACGCAGCGACGCCGCGUGGGGGAUGACGGCCUUCGGGUUGUAAACCUCUUUCAGCAGGGACGAAGCGAAAGUGACGGUACCUGCAGAAGAAGCACCGGCCAACUACGUG
This 465-nucleotide ribosomal RNA is filed under the name uncultured bacterium. RNAcentral describes it as "partial 16S ribosomal RNA". It matches the Rfam family "Bacterial small subunit ribosomal RNA", at positions 28 to 507 of the family's 1533-position model. The record is from RNAcentral.